This 613-nucleotide ribosomal RNA is filed under the name uncultured soil bacterium. RNAcentral describes it as "bacterial SSU rRNA". It matches the Rfam family "Bacterial small subunit ribosomal RNA", at positions 28 to 655 of the family's 1533-position model. The record is from RNAcentral.
GACGAACGCUGGCGGCGUGCUUAACACAUGCAAGUCGAGCGAGGCCCUCCUUCGGGGGGUGCCCUAGCGGCGAACGGGUGAGUAACACGUGGGCAACCUGCCCUCAGCUCUGGGAUAACUCCAAGAAAUUGGUGCUAAUACCGGAUGUGACCGCUGACCGCAUGGUCUGGUGGUGGAAAGAUUUAUCGGCUGAGGAUGGGCCCGCGGCCUAUCAGCUUGUUGGUGGGGUCACGGCCCACCAAGGCGACGACGGGUAGCCGGCCUGAGAGGGUGACCGGCCACACUGGGACUGAGACACGGCCCAGACUCCUACGGGAGGCAGCAGUGGGGAAUAUUGCGCAAUGGGCGAAAGCCUGACGCAGCGACGCCGCGUGAGGGAUGACGGCCUUCGGGUUGUAAACCUCUUUCAGUAGGGACGAAGCGCAAGUGACGGUACCUACAGAAGAAGCACCGGCCAACUACGUGCCAGCAGCCGCGGUAAUACGUAGGGUGCAAGCGUUGUCCGGAAUUAUUGGGCGUAAAGAGCUCGUAGGCGGUCUGUCACGUCGGCUGUGAAAACCCGAGGCUCAACCUCGGGCCUGCAGUCGAUACGGGCAAACUAGAGUACUUGCAG